GCCAUAAAUGCUGAAAUAACCAUCUCAUCAGCUUUUACUAGACAAGCUUAACAUUUUCUAAUUUACUGGCAGGUGUCUAAACAAACUAGAACCCUUCCAUCAGGUAACCUUUUGGGGACAAGAACCUGUUGUGAGAAAAGGAAACAUCCUUCCAAUUGACGUAACCAUAGCACAGAGAUCAUCCAAUAAAAAGGUAACAAUAAUUAAGAAUCUUGAGCUGUAUGGUUUGGACCCCCAGGCUGUUGCUAGUACCCUUCAACAAAAGGUUCAAGCUAGCACCACUAUCGUCGCAAUCCCUGGAG
Notechis scutatus (mainland tiger snake) is the source of this 302-nucleotide non-coding RNA. NCBI's taxonomy places the organism in Eukaryota, Metazoa, Chordata, Lepidosauria, Squamata, Elapidae. The record is from RefSeq and is a predicted model, not a curated record.